CAGGCCUAACACAUGCAAGUCGAACGAUAUUUGGGAGCUUGCUCCCAGAGAAAGUGGCGCACGGGUGCGUAACGCGUAUGCAACCUGCCUUCAUCAGGGGGAUAGCCCGGAGAAAUCCGGAUUAAUACCGCAUAAAAUCACAGGAUGGCAUUAUCCAAUGAUCAAACAUUUAUGGGAUGGAGAUGGGCAUGCGUGUCAUUAGCUUGUUGGCGGGGUAACGGCCCACCAAGGCGACGAUGACUAGGGGAUCUGAGAGGAUGGCCCCCCACACUGGUACUGAGACACGGCCCAAACUCCUACGGGAGGCAGCAGUGGGGAAUAUUGGACAAUGGGCGCAAGCCUGAUCCAGCCAUGCCGCGUGAGUGAUGACGGCCUUAGGGUUGUAAAGCUCUUUCGCACGCGACGAUAAUGACGGUAGCGUGAGAAGAAGCCCCGGCUAACUUCGUGCCAGCAGCCGCGGUAAU
This 464-nucleotide ribosomal RNA is filed under the name uncultured bacterium. RNAcentral's name for it is "bacterial SSU rRNA". It matches the Rfam family "Bacterial small subunit ribosomal RNA", at positions 43 to 524 of the family's 1533-position model. The record is from RNAcentral.